Molecule: ribosomal RNA, 443 nt
Filed under: uncultured bacterium
Lineage: Bacteria
Description: partial 16S ribosomal RNA
Rfam family: Bacterial small subunit ribosomal RNA
Source: RNAcentral
GAUGAACGCUGGCGGCAUGCCUAACACAUGCAAGUCGAUCGGUAAGGCUCUUCGGAGUACACGAGAGGCGGACGGCUGAGUAACGCGUAGGAACACACCCUGCAGUGAGGGAUAAGACACCGAAAGGUGUUCUAAUACCGCAUACGGUCUUCGGAUUAAAGCAUUUAUGCGCUGAAGGAGUGGCCUGCGUCAUAUUAGAUAGUUGGUGAGGUAAUGGCUCACCAAGUCGAUGAUGUGUAGCUGGUCUGAGAGGAUGAUCAGCCAGACUGGAACUGAGACACGGUCCAGACUACUACGGGAGGCAGCAGUGAGGAAUAUUUCACAAUGAGCGAAAGCUUGAUGGAGCAAUGCCGCGUGAAGGAUGAAGGCCCUCGGGUUGUAAACUGCUUUUAUAAGAGAAGAUUAUGACGGUAACUUAUGAAUAAGGGACGGCUAACUACGUG